GGCCUGCUGGCGAAAUGGCAUCGCGUCAGAUUUCGGCUCUCUAGUCAUUCUCUGAAGAUUGCAGGUUCGAUCCCUGCGUAGGUCG
Molecule: non-coding RNA, 85 nt
Organism: Colletotrichum orbiculare MAFF 240422
Lineage: Eukaryota; Fungi; Ascomycota; Sordariomycetes; Glomerellales; Glomerellaceae
Source: Rfam